RNAcentral lists this ribosomal RNA (252 nucleotides) under uncultured bacterium. RNAcentral's name for it is "partial 16S ribosomal RNA". It matches the Rfam family "Bacterial small subunit ribosomal RNA", at positions 524 to 776 of the family's 1533-position model. The record is from RNAcentral.
UACGGAGGUGCGAGCGUUGUCCGGAAUCACUGGGCGUAAAGGGCGCGUAGGUGGCUCGUGAAGCGUGCGGUGAAAGUCCGAGGCUCAACCUCGGAUCGGCCGUGCGGACUCGCGGGCUCGAGCGUUGUAGAGGCGGGUGGAAUUCCGGUGGUAGCGGUGGAAUGCGUAGAGAUCCGGAAGAACACCGGUGGCGAAGGCGGCCCGCUGGGCAACUGCUGACACUGGAUGCGCGACAGCGUGGGAGCAAACAGG